This 76-nucleotide transfer RNA is filed under the name Shewanella putrefaciens. RNAcentral describes it as "tRNA-Asn". The record is from RNAcentral. Lineage: Bacteria; Pseudomonadati; Pseudomonadota; Gammaproteobacteria; Alteromonadales; Shewanellaceae.
UGCAGAUAAAUGGCCAGCCAGAGCUUCUUCAAAUCCAGUUAAAUUAACUUUGGCUAAGAUAGAGGCUGUGUCGAAU